UUCCAUCUGGAGAAUCUGGAGACAGGUGCUGCAUGGCUGUCGUCAGCUCGUGUCGUGAGAUGUUGGGUUAAGUCCCGCAACGAGCGCAACCCUUGCCUUUAGUUGCCAGCAGCGUCGGCUGGGACACUCUAAAGGGACUGCCGGUGUUAAACCGGAGGAAGGUGGGGAUGACGUCAAGUCCUCAUGGCCUUUAUGACCAGGGCUACACACGUACUACAAUGGCCGAUACAAAGGGCAGCGACACUGCGAGGUGAAGCCAAUCCCGUAAAAUCGGUCUCAGUCCGGAUUGGAGUCUGCAACUCGACUCCAUGAAGUUGGAAUCGCUAGUAAUCGUGGAUCAGCAUGCCACGGUGAAUACGUUCCCGGGUCUU
This 371-nucleotide ribosomal RNA is filed under the name uncultured Desulfobulbus sp. RNAcentral's name for it is "bacterial SSU rRNA". It matches the Rfam family "Bacterial small subunit ribosomal RNA", at positions 1014 to 1382 of the family's 1533-position model. Lineage: Bacteria; Pseudomonadati; Thermodesulfobacteriota; Desulfobulbia; Desulfobulbales; Desulfobulbaceae. The record is from RNAcentral.